AACGAACGCUGGCGGCAGGCUUAACACAUGCAAGUCGAGCGCCCCGCAAGGGGAGCGGCAGACGGGUGAGUAACGCGUGGGAAUCUACCCAUCUCUACGGAAUAACCCAGGGAAACUUGGACUAAUACCGUAUACGUCCUUCGGGAGAAAGAUUUAUCGGAGAUGGAUGAGCCCGCGUUGGAUUAGCUAGUUGGUGGGGUAAAGGCCUACCAAGGCGACGAUCCAUAGCUGGUCUGAGAGGAUGAUCAGCCACACUGGGACUGAGACACGGCCCAGACUCCUACGGGAGGCAGCAGUGGGGAAUAUUGGACAAUGGGCGAAAGCCUGAUCCAGCAAUGCCGCGUGAGUGAUGAAGGCCUUAGGGUUGUAAAGCUCUUUUACCCGGGAUGAUAAUGACAGUACCGGGAGAAUAAGCCCCGGCUAACUCCGUGCCAGCAGCCGCGGUAAUACGGAGGGGGCUAGCGUUGUUCGGAAUUACUGGGCGUAAAGCGCGCGUAGGCGGCUAUUCAAGUCAGAGGUGAAAGCCCGGAGCUCAACUCCGGAAUUGCCUUUGAAACUAGAUAGCUAGAAUCAUGGAGAGGCGAGUGGAAUUCCGAGUGUAGAGGUGAAAUUCGUAGAUAUUCGGAAGAACACCAGUGGCGAAGGCGACUCGCUGGACAUGUAUUGACGCCGAGGUGCGAAAGCGUGGGGAGCAAACAGGAUUAGAUACCCUGGUAGUCCACGCCGUAAACGAUGAUAACUAGCUGUCCGGGCACUUGGUGCUUGGGUGGCGCAGCUAACGCAUUAAGUUAUCCGCCUGGGGAGUACGGUCGCAAGAUUAAAACUCAAAGGAAUAGACGGGGACCCGCACAAGCGGUGGAGCAUGUGGUUUAAUUCGACGAUACACGAAGAACCUUACCUGGACUUGACAUAGUAAGAACUUUCUAGAGAUAGAUUGGUGUCUGCUUGCAGAAACUUAUAUACAGGUGCUGCACGGCUGUCGUCAGCUCGUGUCGUGAGAUGUUGGGUUAAGUCCCGCAACGAGCGCAACCCUCGUGUUUAGUUGCUAACAGUUCGGCUGAGAACUCUAAACAGACUGCCUACGCAAGUAGGAGGAAGGUGAGGACGACGUCAAGUCAUCAUGGCCCUUACGUCCAGGGCUACACACGUGCUACAAUGGGAUAUACAAAGAGCGGCAAUACGGUGACGUGGAGCAAAUCUUAUAAAAUAUCUCCCAGUUCGGAUUGUAGUCUGCAACUCGACUACAUGAAGUUGGAAUCGCUAGUAAUCGUAGAUCAGCUAUGCUACGGUGAAUACGUUCCCGGGUCUUGUACUCACCGCCCGUCACACCAUGGGAGUCGAACUCAUUCGAAGCGGGGAUGCUAAAAUAGCUACCUUCCACAGUGGAUUUGGCGACUGGGGUG
RNAcentral lists this ribosomal RNA (1403 nucleotides) under uncultured bacterium. RNAcentral's name for it is "partial 16S ribosomal RNA". It matches the Rfam family "Bacterial small subunit ribosomal RNA". The record is from RNAcentral.